UACGGAGGGUGCAAGCGUUAAUCGGAAUUACUGGGCGUAAAGCGCACGCAGGUGGCUGAGUCAGUCGAUUGUGAAAGCCCUGGGCUUAACCUGGGAAUUGCAGUCGAUACUACUCAGCUAGAGUAUGGGAGAGGGCAGUGGAAUUCCCGGUGUAGCGGUGAAAUGCGUAGAUAGUCAGGAGGAACACCGGUGGCGAAGGCGGGUCUCUGGGCCGAUACUGACACUGAGGAGCGAAAGCGUGGGGAGCGAACAGG
RNAcentral lists this ribosomal RNA (254 nucleotides) under uncultured bacterium. RNAcentral's name for it is "partial 16S ribosomal RNA". It matches the Rfam family "Bacterial small subunit ribosomal RNA", at positions 524 to 776 of the family's 1533-position model. The record is from RNAcentral.